ACGGGAGGCAGCAGUGGGGGAUAUUGCGCAAUGGGGGCAACCCUGACGCAGCAACGCCGCGUGAAGGAUGAAGGUUUUCGGAUUGUAAACUUCUUUUAUUAAGGACGAAAAUUGACGGUACUUAAUGAAUAAGCUCCGGCUAACUACGUGCCAGCAGCCGCGGUAAUACGUAGGGAGCAAGCGUUGUCCGGAUUUACUGGGUGUAAGGGGUGCGUAGGCGGCUUUGCAAGUCAGAUGUGAAAUCUAUGGGCUCAACCCAUAAACUGCAUUUGAAACUGUAGAGCUUGAGUGAAGUAGAGGCAGGCGGAAUUCCCCGUGUAGCGGUGAAAUGCGUAGAGAUGGGGAGGAACACCAGUGGCGAAGGCGGCCUGCUGGGCUUUAACUGACGCUGAGGCACGAAAGCGUGGGUAGCAAACAGGAUUAGAUACCCUGGUAGUCCACGCUGUAAACGAUGAUUACUAGGUGUGGGGGGUCUGACCCCUUCCGUGCC
This 490-nucleotide ribosomal RNA is filed under the name uncultured bacterium. RNAcentral describes it as "bacterial SSU rRNA". It matches the Rfam family "Bacterial small subunit ribosomal RNA", at positions 341 to 847 of the family's 1533-position model. The record is from RNAcentral.